This 87-nucleotide transfer RNA is filed under the name Galeola lindleyana. Its description in RNAcentral is "tRNA-Ser". The record is from RNAcentral. Lineage: Eukaryota; Viridiplantae; Streptophyta; Magnoliopsida; Asparagales; Orchidaceae.
GGAGAGAGGGGGAUUCGAAACCUCGGUACGAAUUAUUCAUACAAAAGAUUAGCAAUCCGACGCUUUAGUCCACUCAGCCAUCUCUCC